UUAUAUGGCAUAGUUAUAGCACCCACUCAUCUAGCCCAAUACCAUCUACUCUGACCGGCAGUGGCUCUCCAAGGCUUCAGGCAGAGCUCUAUGUCCUUCAACGGGAAGUCUCAGGGGACUGAACCUGGGACCUUCUUCAUGUAAGCCCCUUUCACAAGUUUGAUGCAUGAUCAGCAUGCACAAUCAGGAUAAAUAAGGCGGAGAGAUGAGGACUGGCCCCAGAGAGCUCUCGAGGAGUCUGCGGUUGGAGCGCAGGUACUCCUGGAAGUGCCGCCGGUGAGAGGCAGAAGAGGCAUUCCUCGGGACUCACCUUCCAGUUCGGGGCUCCUGGGAGCGGAGAGCUCCCUGAUCUUCGUGGCCCAGGUCUCGGCGAUGGCUCGGUUCUCCUGGGCUUCCUGCGACACCAGCACGCAGAAAGUCUUGGCCACUCGCUGCCUGGAUUCGCCCGAGUCCCACCAGCUCUUCCUGGAGGAGGGGUAGCAGAAGACGGUGAAGUAGGCGGCCGCCGGCUGCGGAGCGCCCUUGCCCUGGCAGACGUAGCAGCCGAUGCAGUCGGAGAGGCUCAGCGCCGUCGAGAGCGGGCUGCCGGCUGGCGCAGAGUCCUGCCGGCGCAUCAGCAGCUCCGCGCCGCGCGUGAGGCUCAGCGCAUAGUGGCUCUUCAGCGCCGGGGCGAGGCAGAAGACCCCGGAGAGCAAAACUUCGCCGGCAGAAG
Molecule: long non-coding RNA, 712 nt
Organism: Hemicordylus capensis (graceful crag lizard)
Lineage: Eukaryota; Metazoa; Chordata; Lepidosauria; Squamata; Cordylidae
Exons: 3
Source: RefSeq, a predicted model, not a curated record